Non-coding RNA from Cinara cedri, 373 nucleotides. Lineage: Eukaryota; Metazoa; Arthropoda; Insecta; Hemiptera; Aphididae. The record is from the annotation of a GenBank genome assembly.
CGGUAAUUGAUUAGCUACGGAAACACGAUCAAAAACGUUCCGCGGUAUUUCGAACGGCGCGCGUAAUCGAUUUGCGCGAGAAAAUCGUCCCUUUCGACGGCGGCGGGAGAAAUGACGUGAUCGGACGAUUUCGUGCUUUUUUUUUCCGGGCUUUGCACAUUUUUCAACGGCUUUUUUUUUUUUUUUUCCGCGAAAAUUAUCGAACGCCGUCGUAUUUCUAUCGGUACGCAUUGAAUACCCGUGCGUUUUCGUUUUUUUCGCGUAUCGUUUUUGGAUUUCCGCCGCGAGUUGUUCGUCGCUCGCCAUGCGCUCACCGUGUCUAUAUAUAUAUACGUAUACCUAACCCCCUACCUCCUACGCCCCCCCCCCCCCC